Molecule: ribosomal RNA, 376 nt
Filed under: Parasphaeria boleiriana
Lineage: Eukaryota; Metazoa; Arthropoda; Insecta; Blattodea; Blaberidae
Description: partial 16S ribosomal RNA
Source: RNAcentral
CUUUUCUUGAAUUUAUAUGAAGUAUAACCUGCCCAAUGAAUAAUUUUUAAUGGCCGCGGUAUUUUGACCGUGCAAAGGUAGCAUAAUCAUUAGUCUUUUAAUUGUAGGCUGGAAUGAAUGGUUGGACGAGAUAAAAACUGUCUUUGGAUUAAUUUAUUUGAAUUUAAUUUUUAAGUUAAAAAGCUUAAAUUUUUUAUUGGGACGAGAAGACCCUAUAGAGUUUAAUAUUAUAUAUAAUAAUAGUUGUGUAUAAUUAUUUUUAAUUAUAUAUUUUAUUUGGUUGGGGUGAUUAUAGGAUAAAAAUAACUUUUUAUUACAUUUAUUAUAAAUUUAUAUUUUAAUGAUCCAUUAUUAUUGAUUAAAAGACUAAAUUACC